This 361-nucleotide unclassified non-coding RNA is filed under the name Basidiomycota sp. Its description in RNAcentral is "partial contains small subunit ribosomal RNA, internal transcribed spacer 1, and 5.8S ribosomal RNA". The stretch from base 1 to 47 matches the Rfam family "Eukaryotic small subunit ribosomal RNA", at positions 1785 to 1831 of the family's 1831-position model. The record is from RNAcentral. Lineage: Eukaryota; Fungi; Basidiomycota.
AAAGUCGUAACAAGGUUUCCGUAGGUGAACCUGCGGAAGGAUCAUUAACACGUAUCCAAACGUUAAAAACCCUGUGAAUUUUCAGCACCCGGUCUUGCUGCCCGCGAAAGCGAGUGAUUAAUUUCUUGCGGCAAGCACGGUGAGGCAUGUGACCUGGCACUUCUAAGCAACCAAUGUUCUGUCAGUGUGCGUUGGUUGUCCAAAGGUGGCGCAGUAAACGAUCGCUGGAGGUCAACACGGCCGGCGACCGGGUCAGCGAGCUCUGCUCCCCUAAAACCACUUUAACAUGAUUACAGUUCCUCUUUAAUUUGAGUGAGCUCCAAAAACUAUACAACUGUUAACAAUGGAUAUCUUGGUUCUC